Molecule: ribosomal RNA, 475 nt
Filed under: uncultured bacterium
Lineage: Bacteria
Description: bacterial SSU rRNA
Rfam family: Bacterial small subunit ribosomal RNA
Source: RNAcentral
GAUGAACGCUGGCGGCGUGCUUAACACAUGCAAGUCGAACGGAGUUUCUUGGAUAGAGGUUUCGGCCAAUUGAAAAGAAACUUAGUGGCGGACGGGUGAGUAACGCGUGAGGAAUCUGCCUUGGAGUGGGGAAUAACACAGUGAAAAUUGUGCUAAUACCGCAUAAUGCAAUUGAGUCGCAUGGCUCUGAUUGCCAAAGAUUUAUCGCUCUGAGAUGACCUCGCGUCUGAUUAGCUAGUUGGUAGGGUAACGGCCUACCAAGGCGACGAUCAGUAGCCGGACUGAGAGGUUGGCCGGCCACAUUGGGACUGAGACACGGCCCAGACUCCUACGGGAGGCAGCAGUGGGGAAUAUUGGGCAAUGGGCGCAAGCCUGACCCAGCAACGCCGCGUGAAGGAAGAAGGCUUUCGGGUUGUAAACUUCUUUGUCAGGGACGAACACAAUGACGGUACCUGACGAAUAAGCCACGGCUAAC